UGACCGAUAGCGAACUAGUACCGUGAGGGAAAGGUGAAAAGAACCCCGGGAGGGGAGUGAAACAGUCUCUGAAACCAUGCGCCUACGAACCGUCGGGGCCCCCUUGUGGGGUGACGGCGUGCCUAUCGAAAAAUGAGUCUGCGAGUCAGUGGCAUGUGGCGAGCAUAACCCGUGUGGGGUAUGCGUAGCGAAGGCGAGUCUUAAAAGGCGUUUAAAGUCGCGUGUCCUGGACCCGAAGCGGGAUGAUCUAGCCCUGAGCAGGUUGAAGCGCGGGUAAGACCGUGUGGAGGACCGAACCCACCUGGGUUGAAAACCGGGGGGAUGACUUGGGGCUAGGGGUGAAAGGCCAAUCAAAUUCCGUGAUAGCUGGUUCUCUCCGAAAUGCAUUUAGGUGCAGCGUCGGAUCGAUUACAUCCGGGGGGUAGAGCGACUGGAUGCUUGCGGGCCCAUAUCGGGUACCAACAGCAACCAAACUCCGAAUACCCGUGAUGCGUAUCCCGGCAGUGAGUCGGCGGGGGAUAAGCUCCGUCGUCGAAAGGGAAACAGCCCAGAUCGUCGUCUAAGGUCCCCAAGCGUGUGCUAAGUGGGAAAGGAUGUGGAGUCGCAUAGACAGCCAGGAGGUUGGCUCAGAAGCAGCCACCCUUGAAAGAGUGCGUAACAGCUCACUGGUCUAGUGGUUCCGCGCCGACAAUGUAGCGGGGCUCAAGCACACCACCGAAGACGCGGCAGUAGCUUUGCUACUGGGUAGGAGAGCGUCCCAUGCGGGGCGAAGCGGCGGCGCAAGCCCGCCGUGGACCGCAUGGGAGUGAGAAUGCAGACAUGAGUAGCGAAAGACGGGUGAAGAUCCCGUCCGCUGGACGACCAAGGGUUCCAGGGCCACGUUCAUCGUCCCUGGGUGAGUCGGGUCCUAAGGCGAGGCCGACAGGCGUAGUCGAAUGGAUGAACGGGUCGAUAUUCCCGUACCGGCAUGCAACCGGCAAAACCGAAUCCGCGAGUACUAACCUCCGGGUCCGGGCUCACGUCUCCUUCGGGAGCCGGAUGCCCUGGCCUGUUGGGACCGUAACGGUAGUAGGUCAGCGCGGGAGUGACGCAGAAGGGUAGCCGGCCGCGGAGGUGGUCUUCCGUGGUCAAGCACGCAGCCCGUCCCACAGGCAAAUCCGUGGGGCGCGUGGGCGAGGUGCGAUGAUGGGCGCCGCAGGGCGCGAUAUCCGGUGAUCCCGGCUGCCGAGAAAAGCUUCGGCGUGAGGCGGCAUGCCGCCCGUACCCCAAACCGACACUGGUGGUCAGGUAGAGAAUACCAAAGCGAUCGAGCGAAUCCUGGUCAAGGAACUCGGCAAAUCACUCCCGUUCCUUCGGUUUAAGGGAGACCCCCGAUGGUGAAGCGGCUUGCCCGCGGAGCUUUUGGGGGUGGCACAGACCAGGGGGUAGCGACUGUUUACCAAAAACACAGGAGCGUGCGAAGGCGCAAGCCGCUGUAUACGCUCUGACGCCUGCCCGGUGCCGGAAGGUUAAGAGGAUCCGUCAGGCCUCGGCCGAAGCGGUGAAUUCAAGCCCCGGUAAACGGCGGUGGUAACUAUAACCAUCCUAAGGUAGCGAAAUUCCUUGUCGGGUAAGUUCCGACCUGCACGAAUGGCGUAACGA
RNAcentral lists this ribosomal RNA (1641 nucleotides) under human gut metagenome. RNAcentral describes it as "bacterial LSU rRNA". It matches the Rfam family "Bacterial large subunit ribosomal RNA", at positions 481 to 2007 of the family's 2925-position model. The record is from RNAcentral.